This 251-nucleotide ribosomal RNA is filed under the name uncultured prokaryote. Its description in RNAcentral is "partial 16S rRNA". It matches the Rfam family "Bacterial small subunit ribosomal RNA", at positions 525 to 775 of the family's 1533-position model. The record is from RNAcentral.
ACGGAGGGUGCAAGCGUUAUUCGGAAUUACUGGGCGUAAAGCGCGUGUAGGCGGUCCUGCAAGUCUGAUGUGAAAGCCCCGGGCUUAACCCCGUAAAGGCUUUGGAAACUGUGGGCCUUGAGGACAGGAGAGGAAGGGGGAAUUCCAGGUGUAGAGGUGAAAUGCGUAGAGAUCGGGAGGAAUACCAGUGGCGAAGGCGACUAUCUGGACGGUAACUGACGCUGAGGCGCGAAAGCGUGGGGAGCAAACAG